AAAUGACUCUUGACAACGGAUAUCUAGGCUCUUGCAUCGAUGAAGAACGUAGCGAAAUGCGAUACUUGGUGUGAAUUGCAGAAUCCCGUGAACCAUCGAGUCUUUGAACGCAAGUUGCGCCCGAAGCCUUCUGGCCGAGGGCACGUCUGCCUGGGCGUCAUAA
Molecule: ribosomal RNA, 163 nt
Filed under: Podostemum ceratophyllum
Lineage: Eukaryota; Viridiplantae; Streptophyta; Magnoliopsida; Malpighiales; Podostemaceae
Description: 5.8S ribosomal RNA
Rfam family: 5.8S ribosomal RNA
About the family: 5.8S ribosomal RNA (5.8S rRNA) is a component of the large subunit of the eukaryotic ribosome. It is transcribed by RNA polymerase I as part of the 45S precursor that also contains 18S and 28S rRNA. Functionally, it is thought that 5.8S rRNA may be involved in ribosome translocation.
Source: RNAcentral